Molecule: small RNA, 110 nt
Filed under: Arabidopsis thaliana (thale cress)
Lineage: Eukaryota; Viridiplantae; Streptophyta; Magnoliopsida; Brassicales; Brassicaceae
Description: ATSL124570
Source: RNAcentral
AUAUUAAAUAAAUUAUAAUCAAUUGAUAUGUGGUCCAGCAAGGUUGAUUAUGUGAAUCAGAAAAUAAUCUGGUUUACCGUCACGCUCGGAUUUAAAAACAUUGAUAAAAA